AUUGAACGCUGGCGGCAUGCCUUACACAUGCGAGUCGAACGGCAUCGCGGGAAAGCUUGCUUUCCUGGCGGCGAGUGGCGAACGGGUGAGUAACACAUCGGAACGUACCGGCUAGUGGGGGAUAACCCGUCGAAAGACGGGCUAAUACCGCAUACGCUCUUCGGAGGAAAGCAGGGGACCUUUGGGCCUUGCGCUAGCCGAGCGGCCGAUGUCCGAUUAGCUAGUUGGUGGGGUAAAGGCCUACCAAGGCGACGAUCGGUAGCGGGUCUGAGAGGACGAUCCGCCACACUGGGACUGAGACACGGCCCAGACUCCUACGGGAGGCAGCAGUGGGGAAUCUUGGACAAUGGGGGCAACCCUGAUCCAGCAAUGCCGCGUGGGUGAAGAAGGCCUUCGGGUUGUAAAGCCCUUUCGGCAGGGAAGAAAUCGGCGGGGCGAAUAACCCUGCUGGAUGACGGUACCUGCAGAAGAAGCACCGGCUAACUACGUG
This 490-nucleotide ribosomal RNA is filed under the name uncultured bacterium. Its description in RNAcentral is "partial 16S ribosomal RNA". It matches the Rfam family "Bacterial small subunit ribosomal RNA", at positions 29 to 507 of the family's 1533-position model. The record is from RNAcentral.